GGGGUUGCUAACUCAAUGGUAGAGUACUCGGCUUUUAA
RNAcentral lists this transfer RNA (38 nucleotides) under Salix bakko. Its description in RNAcentral is "partial tRNA-Lys (UUU)". The record is from RNAcentral. Lineage: Eukaryota; Viridiplantae; Streptophyta; Magnoliopsida; Malpighiales; Salicaceae. RNAcentral also lists the same sequence under 2 other names.